CCUACGGGGGGCAGCAGUGGGGAAUAUUGCACAAUGGGGGAAACCCUGAUGCAGCGACGCCGCGUGAAGGAAGAAGUAUUUCGGUAUGUAAACUUCUAUCAGCAGGGAAGAAAAUGACGGUACCUGACUAAGAAGCCCCGGCUAACUACGUGCCAGCAGCCGCGGUAAUACGUAGGGGGCAAGCGUUAUCCGGAUUUACUGGGUGUAAAGGGAGCGUAGGCGGUUUAGCAAGUCAGAAGUGAAAGCCCGGGGCUCAACUCCGGGACUGCUUUUGAAACUGUUGAACUAGAUUGCAGGAGAGGUAAGUGGAAUUCCUAGUGUAGCGGUGAAAUGCGUAGAUAUUAGGAGGAACACCGGUGGCGAAGGCGGCUUGCUGGACGGUAACUGACGUUGAGGCUCGAAAGCGUGGGGAGCAAACAGGAUUAGAUACCCUUGUAGUC
RNAcentral lists this ribosomal RNA (440 nucleotides) under uncultured bacterium. Its description in RNAcentral is "partial 16S ribosomal RNA". It matches the Rfam family "Bacterial small subunit ribosomal RNA", at positions 338 to 795 of the family's 1533-position model. The record is from RNAcentral.